GAUGAACGCUGGCGGCGUGCCUAAUACAUGCAAGUCGAGCGAACAGACGAGGAGCUUGCUCCUCUGACGUUAGCGGCGGACGGGUGAGUAACACGUGGAUAACCUACCUAUAAGACUGGGAUAACUUCGGGAAACCGGAGCUAAUACCGGAUAAUAUAUUGAACCGCAUGGUUCAAUAGUGAAAGACGGUUUUGCUGUCACUUAUAGAUGGAUCCGCGCCGCAUUAGCCAGUUGGUAAGGUAACGGCUUACCAAGGCGACGAUGCGUAGCCGACCUGAGAGGGUGAUCGGCCACACUGGAACUGAGACACGGUCCAGACUCCUACGGGAGGCAGCAGUAGGGAAUCUUCCGCAAUGGGCGAAAGCCUGACGGAGCAACGCCGCGUGAGUGAUGAAGGUCUUCGGAUCGUAAAACUCUGUUAUUAGGGAAGAACAUAUGUGUAAGUAACUGUGCACAUCUUGACGGUACCUAAUCAGAAAGCCACGGCUAACUACGUG
This 497-nucleotide ribosomal RNA is filed under the name uncultured bacterium. Its description in RNAcentral is "partial 16S ribosomal RNA". It matches the Rfam family "Bacterial small subunit ribosomal RNA", at positions 28 to 507 of the family's 1533-position model. The record is from RNAcentral.